RNAcentral lists this ribosomal RNA (329 nucleotides) under uncultured eukaryote. Its description in RNAcentral is "partial 18S ribosomal RNA". It matches the Rfam family "Eukaryotic small subunit ribosomal RNA", at positions 1470 to 1796 of the family's 1831-position model. The record is from RNAcentral.
CCCUUAGAUGUUCUGGGCCGCACGCGCGCUACACUGAUGCAUUCAACGAGUCUAAAACCUGCUCUGAUAGGGGUGGGUAAUCUUUUGAAUGUGCAUCGUGAUUGGGAUAGAUGAUUGAAAUUUUUCAUCUUCAACGAGGAAUGCCUAGUAAACGCAAGUCAUCAGCUUGCAUUGAUUACGUCCCUGCCCUUUGUACACACCGCCCGUCGCUCCUACCGAUUGAAUGAUCCGAUGAAUAUCAUGGAUUGAGGAUGCAAGUAGGUUCACCUAUCUUCAUCUUCGAGAAGUGAAGUAAAUCUUAUCGUUUAGAGGAAGGAGAAGUCGUAACA